CGACGGGAGUACCCGGGGCAUUUCCGAAUUUUAAUUUUUUUACCGCGUAGAAGAAGCAGGAAAGAAAAAUUGAGGAAAACGGAAAACUUAUCAAACUUACCUUUAUUGGAAGGUAAUAUGCUUUAUUUAAUAUCAAUCCUUGUAGUAGAGUACUUAGAUUGCCAAUAUAGAUGGAAAUUUAGGACAUCGAGCCCGAACUUAAUGUGAUAUUUCGACAUAAAGUUUGUGCUUUUGCUUUGCACGUGGUUCGCUUUAUGGGCGAUUGUCGAACUUUAAACCGUGUUUUAAUUCAUAAUUGUUGACCAAGUGAGUAAAAAGACUAAGAUCUAGAAUUGUUUAAGUUGUCGAAAAAAGGUCUUAUCUCGGAGUUCUUGCUGAAAAUUUUUAUAUUAUGGUGGGACGAAUAUUUCAUCAGCUUGAUUUUAACAAUAUUGUGUUUUUAUACAAUGUAUUUGAUAAGUAUGCUAGUAAGAUGAAUUUAAAGUUUGUAGGCUGAGGGUGGUUUGAAAAGAAGAUUGUUCUUUUGAAGACAUCUACUUCAGACUCAAAAAUAUGCACUUGUAGUAGCAGUUUAAAGGGGGGGGAGGGGGGGGAUGAAUAGGGGUAUACAAAUCCGCCCAAAUUUGAAGCAAAAUCCGCGAUCCAACAAUGGUCUUGUCUAAAUUUGAAUCCGCUAAAAGCUCUACUAUGAAGUCACAAUCCAGGAUUCAAACUAAAUUGCAAGCUAAUUAAUCCACAAUUAUCCAAGCCAAAAUAUUAGAUAAAUCCGCAAUCUAUUGUAUUAAUAAGAUCCACAAAUCUGUGUAAAAUAUUUGCCAGAUCCGAAAUCCGAACAAUUCUUUUCUGUGAAAUCCAACGGUCCAAAAACCUACUCACCCCCUCCCCCUUUUAAAGCUUUCUUUCGACAUAGGCUUGCUAGGAAUGUUCAGUAUGAGAAAUUUUCGGUAUCGGUAUACCGAAAAAAUUAUACCAAUAUUAUCGGUAUACCGGUUUUCCUGAAAGAAAUUUUGAGUAAUUCUAAAAGGGAAAACGAUCAUUUUGAAGCUGUUUCGAACAUGUUUCGAACGACACAUACGCAGUGUAAAAUCUCACUGAAGUGGAAAUUCUAAAUCAUUGCAGUAGAAAGUUCUUUGAAUUGCCAUUCAGUAGUAAAAUAAAGGUUAUGGUUUCGCCAUAUAGUCGAUAAAUUUAACACGGUAUACCGAAAAAUUCCAGUAUAUCGGAAAUUUUCGGUAUAUUGGAAAUAUCGGUAUGGUUGAAUAUCCGGUACCGAUAUACCGAUAUUGAUUUAAUACCGAUAUUUUUAGUAUACCGGUAUACCAAAUAGUCCUAAGGCUGGCAAGGAUUUAGAGAAUGCUAAAAAAUAAAAAGGACAGUAUUUGUUAAAUUUAAAAGCAUAUUAAUUUGAUUUACCAGUACAGCAUUUCCAAUUGGUCGGCAUUUUUUGGAUAAAUAUUGAACAUUACAAAAAUAUGUGGUGAAAUGAAACCUGUUUUAUUUCCUGAAAAAUCAGGAUAGGAAUGUCGAAUAAUUUUCUUCAAAUAUUUUUUGGCUUGACAUUUUUGUUUCAGACUCUGAUGUUCAUAUUGUGAUUUUCAUCUCACUAGCCAAGCUAUUCACACCCUCAAUAAAAUUCUCAUAAAUUUUUGUAGAUGUACAGUGCAAGUUCCAAGAAUGUCACAAGACCUCAUGAUUAUGAAAAAUGGACUCACAUGACAGUCUAAGAUCCUGAAUAAGAGGUAAAUUUUUAAAUUUUUUUUUUUUUAUUAACUUUACAAUCAUAUUAUAUAAAAAAUACACAUACAGCUAUGAUUGAAGGAUUGGACAACAGAACUAGAAUCCCAUACUAAGUCCAUCCAUCUAACACUAAAACACGACAUAUUACGGACUGCAAAAUGGACAACGUAAAUACUGAUUUUACAGGCCUUUAUACUAUAUAAAACAUGCAAGAAUAAAUAUACAUAACUACACUACCCCACUGAUUUUUCUGCUAAUUAUUUCUAACCUCCAAUUUUGUAUUUCUUGGACAAUUUUCUUUGUAAUAUAUGAAUUUGUUUCAUGUUCUCAAUAGUAAAUUUUUUAAAUUUUCUAGAUGUGUGUUGCAAUUUCAAAGAAUGUCUCGAAAGAAUGUCUCGGAUCAAGUUGUCGGCUGAAGUGUUAUUGAUCACAAAAAUGAACACUGUCAUUGGAAAGUAUAUAAAAGGUCUUAAUAUUUUCCUGUCUUAUCUUACAUGCAAUGUUUUGAACAUUAUAUGAUUGCCUGUGAUCAAUAGUUUCAAAAAUUCCAGCAGAAUGUUGCAAAAAUAGCAUGACCAUGUUACUUAUGACACAAAAUACAACAAAAAUAAUGAGCACAAUCUUUGCACCUAAAUAUGGUGAAUGCGCAAUAAUUGCACUCUUUUUAUUCUAUUAUUACAUCACUAUCCACGGUUGCCACUGAUCACAGAAACUCUAUAAUUUUCAAAGCAUAAGCAUUUUAUGAGCAAGCCAGAAAAUGACAAACUGUCAAAAAUGUGAUUUAACAGUAAUGAUUUGGUUUGGACAUGCAUUUUUUCUGUUUGACAUUAAUAGCUAAGUCUUAAAGUGCAGAAUAUAUAAAUUUGUGUUUAUCUGUGUUCUAUCUGAG
Molecule: non-coding RNA, 2626 nt
Organism: Paramuricea clavata
Lineage: Eukaryota; Metazoa; Cnidaria; Anthozoa; Malacalcyonacea; Plexauridae
Source: the annotation of a GenBank genome assembly